RNAcentral lists this unclassified non-coding RNA (219 nucleotides) under Hevea brasiliensis (rubber tree). The record is from RNAcentral. Lineage: Eukaryota; Viridiplantae; Streptophyta; Magnoliopsida; Malpighiales; Euphorbiaceae.
CCACCUCUUCUCUUUACAUAACACCUACAUACAUAUAGAUCCAUCCAUAGAUGUACCAUCUCUCAUAUCGAUGAUUGUCAUAAAAACGCUGCUUAGUAUUGGAUUUGCAGACAUUAUAUAACCGAUAUUUGUGUUUGUGUGUGUGUAUAAAGAUUGUAUCUUUCUUCAAUUCUAUCAAGAAAAAUUCUUUAGUUGUGGCUACUACAAGGAGUAGGCAGC